AUGGUUUGGAUGGGGCUGGGUUCCUACAACGACGGCAACAGAGGCGACAAACACCACUUUGCAACCUCGCCGAACUGUGUUGCUGAACUGAAGUUUAGGGACAGCAGCAGUUUUACCACCGAUGGUGUUGCAUGUAAGCUGGAUGUUCUCAUUGUUCUGUUGGCUCUGAUCGGUGUGUAUGCUAUGAAGUUAAGGUUCUUAAGAUUAAUGAUGUUUAUAGAAGUGAUGCAGGAUGUGAGGUACAACUAUCAAAGUGACAUUAAUUUUGGUUCUGAUUCCUAUCCGCAGCCUCUUCUACACUAG
RNAcentral lists this ribosomal RNA (303 nucleotides) under Triticum aestivum (bread wheat). RNAcentral describes it as "partial small subunit ribosomal RNA". The record is from RNAcentral. Lineage: Eukaryota; Viridiplantae; Streptophyta; Magnoliopsida; Poales; Poaceae.